This 77-nucleotide transfer RNA is filed under the name Phormidium sp. FACHB-592. Its description in RNAcentral is "tRNA-Leu". It matches the Rfam family "tRNA". From Rfam's summary of the family: Transfer RNA (tRNA) molecules are approximately 80 nucleotides in length. Their secondary structure includes four short double-helical elements and three loops (D, anti-codon, and T loops). Lineage: Bacteria; Bacillati; Cyanobacteriota; Cyanophyceae; Oscillatoriales; Oscillatoriaceae. The record is from RNAcentral. RNAcentral also lists the same sequence under 1 other name.
GCUGCUGUAGCCCAACCGGAAGAGGUGCUGGUCUUAGAAGCCAGAGGUUGUGGGUUCAAAUCCCACCAGCAGUACCA